GUACUACGACAGCAGCAAGUAAAUUGUGUGCAAAGUCCAAAGCAGGACACACAACCACCUGCUAGCACUUUAGGCAAACGUGGACUUAAAAUUGGUACUGGCCAGUCACUGCUAAAACGCAAGCAAGAACCUUGUGACCUAAAUCCAAAGGAUUCACAGUCAAUCGUUCCUGGUGGGAUCACAAGAGAGUCCAGCACCACAAGCAUAGGCCA
RNAcentral lists this long non-coding RNA (212 nucleotides) under Dermacentor andersoni. Its description in RNAcentral is "uncharacterized LOC126539938". The record is from RNAcentral. Lineage: Eukaryota; Metazoa; Arthropoda; Arachnida; Ixodida; Ixodidae.